RNAcentral lists this transfer RNA (57 nucleotides) under Procecidochares utilis. RNAcentral describes it as "tRNA-His". Lineage: Eukaryota; Metazoa; Arthropoda; Insecta; Diptera; Tephritidae. The record is from RNAcentral.
AUUUAAAUAGUUUAAUAAAAAUGUUGAUUUGUGGUGUCAAAGAUAUGAUUUUAAAUC